RNAcentral lists this ribosomal RNA (484 nucleotides) under uncultured bacterium. RNAcentral describes it as "partial 16S ribosomal RNA". It matches the Rfam family "Bacterial small subunit ribosomal RNA", at positions 30 to 507 of the family's 1533-position model. The record is from RNAcentral.
AUUGAACGCUGGCGGCAGGCCUAACACAUGCAAGUCGAGCGGAUGAAGGGAGCUUGCUCCUGGAUUCAGCGGCGGACGGGUGAGUAAUGCCUAGGAAUCUGCCUGGUAGUGGGGGAUAACGUCCGGAAACGGGCGCUAAUACCGCAUACGUCCUGAGGGAGAAAGUGGGGGAUCUUCGGACCUCACGCUAUCAGAUGAGCCUAGGUCGGAUUAGCUAGUUGGUGGGGUAAAGGCCUACCAAGGCGACGAUCCGUAACUGGUCUGAGAGGAUGAUCAGUCACACUGGAACUGAGACACAGUCCAGACUCCUACGGGAGGCAGCAGUGGGGAAUAUUGGACAAUGGGCGAAAGCCUGAUCCAGCCAUGCCGCGUGUGUGAAGAAGGUCUUCGGAUUGUAAAGAACUUUAAGUUGGGAGGAAGGGCAGUAAGUUAAUACCUUGCUGUUUUGACGUUACCAACAGAAUAAGCACCGGCUAACUUCGUG